GAUGAACGCUGGCGGCGUGCCUAAUACAUGCAAGUCGAGCGAACAGACGGGGAGCUUGCUCCUCUGACGUUAGCGGCGGACGGGUGAGUAACACGUGGAUAACCUACCUAUAAGACUGGGAUAACUUCGGGAAACCGGAGCUAAUACCGGAUAAUAUAUUGAACCGCAUGGUUCAAUAGUGGAAGACGGUUUUGCUGUCACUUAUAGAUGGAUCCGCGCCGCAUUAGCUAGUUGGUAAGGUAACGGCUUACCAAGGCAACGAUGCGUAGCCGACCUGAGAGGGUGAUCGGCCACACUGGAACUGAGACACGGUCCAGACUCCUACGGGAGGCAGCAGUAGGGAAUCUUCCGCAAAGGGCGAAAGCCUGACGGAGCAACGCCGCGUGAGUGAUGAAGGUCUUCGGAUCGUAAAACUCUGUUAUUAGGGAAGAACAAAUGUGUAAGUAACUAUGCACGUCUUGACGGUACCUAAUCAGAAAGCCACGGCUAACUACGUG
This 497-nucleotide ribosomal RNA is filed under the name uncultured bacterium. RNAcentral's name for it is "partial 16S ribosomal RNA". It matches the Rfam family "Bacterial small subunit ribosomal RNA", at positions 28 to 507 of the family's 1533-position model. The record is from RNAcentral.